UGUGUAUGUAUGUUUGAGAAAGUUUCGGUCACAUGGGGGAGUAGGUGAGGCAGUAUCAUGUUCAGUCAUGUUAAGCCAUGGAUCACCUCGACUUGACCAGCUGUGAACAUUCACCAGUUCGAGCCCCGCUCUUCAGAUUUUUCUCCUUCCUUUAACACAUUAAUUCGAACUGCUCUGAGUUUUCUUCUAGAAUUUUGUUGAGGAAAGUUAAAAAAAUAGGGUAACUCUUGCUUUGAUGGUGAGCCAUUGUGAGUGAACACGAGCACCAGUCAUGUGAGUGAACGCGAGCACCAGUUAUGUGAGUGAACGCGAGCACCAGUUAUGUGAGUGAACGCGAGCACCAGUUAUAAUCCUCCGGAAUUAUUACAAAGAACUGAGAAUAGCAGUGACAACACAGUACCUUAAGAUGCACGUAAGUUCCCUGUCUUCUAAUACCAUGUUCACUUUUCCACUAUAAUCUACCUUGUCUAUAAUUACUAUAACAUUUGUUUUGUCUGUUUCGUAAGGUGAAGUCCAGGAUCUUUACUUAAUUUAUGGUAUAACUUAACAGAUCUUUGAAGACAGUUUUGUUGUAGAGGUCUGAGCGCCGCUCAGACCUCUACAACACAGACCUAAUUACCUUCCAUCUGUCCCAUUUCCCAGGAGCUGUCAGACCCUUACGGGUUUAGUGCUUUCCUACGAAUACAGUAAUAAUACAUAUCUUUCCAAACAGCUCACGUCCAACCUCUUUGUUGUGGCUGUUACUGUAGUGAGGAAGCCCUAAGCCCGUAGGGGACGCACACCGCCUGGGGAAUGGGAAAUGAUUAGGAUCAGGUAUGAUGCAAGGAAAGGAAGCUUAGCUCCAUUUCCUUGGAUCGAAAGUUCUAUAGCAUCAAGAUGCCACUCUUGAUGGGAACCUUAAGUUAAAAAGGAUGACGUUUUAAAUUGUAGGUUAUUAUAGUAUUCUUGUAUCAUUAGCGCCUCAACACAGAGAAGGAAGGAAGGAAGGAAGGGAGGAAGGGAGGAAGGAAGGAAGGAAGGAAGGGGCUAGCCAUCAAAGCUGGGUUACUCACUUCUGUUAUAUAUCUUGUUAGUGUUUAUUCCUAAAACAUCGUGUUUACGCUCAUCUGAACAAUUUUAUUGUUGGUCGAACUGAUGUGAAAGUCCGGAGUCUCGAGCCCGUACUCUGGCCAUGAGUGUGUGUGUGUGUUAUGAUCCCCUCUGUCCUUGGACUAUAUCUCCUUGAGCUUUCCCUGCUUACAGUACCUUGUCUGGGUUGGCUUAGAAGAUAAUUAUGAUAGAGUGAACAGUAACGGAAUCAGUUAGAAAUUUAAUGAAAAGUUCAGAUGAACAUGCGAUAGAAUGAUCUGUAGUAUGAGAGUUAGUUAAUUGGUUAACUGAGCUAAUGAGUAAGUUUCUCAGAGGCGUGAUUCAUGACGUCAUAAAUGGCCAUUAACUGUGUUAGCCAGUAAUGUGUCCUCUCUGAUGCAUGUUCCAUGACUUCAAGAACCAUCAAGCGUUAAAGCUUUACCAAACAAGCUUAAACCAUCCAGUUUAUAAGAGUUCUACAUCCCAAACAUAUCUUAAGUCUACAGUUGUCCUCGCGGGGUCAUUUUCGUAGCUGCACAAAUUCUACAUAUCAUUAUGCCUUAAUUAAGUCCACAAUUAGGAUAAUUACUACUACUACGGGCGUAAGUUUAAGUAAGGAAGGCUGAAAACAGACCUUAUCAGCAAUAUAUAAAACUUCAGGUUGUCAGGUAACCAUAAAAAAUUCCUUAAUGCAUUUUUUAAUUAAAUAGUAUUAGUUGAUCAGUGAUAGAACCUUCAUAGAGAGAAUCACAUGGCACCUUGUUAUAUAGAUGUGUCUCUGGUAUUUGACAGAUGUACUGGUGUAUAAUACUCUAAUAAGUGUGUCUGGUGUCUGGCGUAUGAUACGCCAGACGCUGUUAUUGUGCGUGUCUGGCGUUUGACAGAUGUGUCUCGUGGUUAAUGUGCGUGUCUGGCGUUUGAUAGAUGUGUCUCGUGGUUAAUAAUGAGCGUGUCUGGCGUUUGUCAGAUGUGUCUCGUGGUUAAUGUGCGUGUCUGGCGUUUGAUAGAUGUGUCUCGUGGUUAAUAAUGAGCGUGUCUGGCGUUUGUCAGAUGUGUCUCGUGGUUAAUGUGCGUGUCUGGCGUUUGAUAGAUGUGUCUCGUGGUUAAUGUAUAUGUCUAGUGGUUGAUAGAUGUUUCUAGUGGCUGAUGUGUAGGUCUGGAGGUUGAUAGAUGUGUCUAGCGCCUGAUGUGUAUGUCUGGAGGUUGACAGAUGUGUCUAGCGGCUGAUGUGUAUGUCUGGAGGUUGAUAGUUAUGUCUACCGGCUGAUGUGUAGGUCUGGAGGUUGAUAGAUGUGUCUAGCGCCUGAUGUGUAUGUCUGGAGGUUGAUAGAUGUUUCUAGUGGCUGAUGUGUAGGUCUGGAGGUUGACAGAUGUGUCUAGCGGCUGAUGUGUAUGUCUGGAGGUUGAUAGAUAUGUCUACCGGCUGAUGUGUAGGUCUGGAGGUUGAUAGAUGUGUCUAGCGCCUGAUGUGUAUGUCUGGAGGUUGAUAGAUGUGUCUAGUGGCUGAUGUGUAGGUCUGGAGGUUGAUAGAUGUGUCUAGCAGCUGAUGUGUAGGUCUGGAGGUUGAUAGAUGUGUCCAGCGGCUGAUGUGUAGGUCUGGAGGUUGAUAGAUGUGUCCAGCGGCUGAUGUGUAUGCAUAGUGGUAGAUCGGCGUGUGUGAUGUUUGAUAAAUGUGUCUAGCGGUUGAUGUGUAGGUCUGGUCCUUGAUAAAUGUAUCCGGCUUUCAAUAGACGUAUAUAGUGUUUGAUAAAAGCGUUUGAUGUUUAAUAGACGUGUCUGGCAUAUGACAAGGGUGUCAAGCGUGCCUGUCUUUCAUUAUAUGUGUAUAGGAUUUGACAACCGUGCCUAACGUGUGAUAUAUAUGCCAGGAGUUUGAGUGACGUGUCUGGCGUUUAACAGACGUGUCUAACGUAAGACAAAUGUAUCUAGUGUCAUAGCAUUUCAUGACUUUCUUCUUCAUAAUCAUCAUCUAGUUAUUCACGGGAAGAAAGAAGCAAACAACAUAAAUACUGUAUAUGUGUUUUGCAUGUUGCAGAAAGUCUGGAAGAUGAUAGAAGCGUAUGUGAUAAAAGUCGCUGAAAGAUACCCUAAAGACAAUAAUUUAAUUGGUUUCUUUCAUGAAAAAAACGAUAAACCAGUUAGGGUCAUGCAGUGGUAAAUUUCUGACAAAUUGGGUAAUAUCAAAGAAAAUGUUAGGUCCUUCAUCCGUUGUGUGUUCCUGAGAGACAGUAGCCUCGAACCCACUUACCCUGCCCUGUCUUGCCCUGCUCACCCCUGUCAUGCCCUGUCCUGCCCUUCCCUGUAAUGCCCUGUCCUACCCUGCUGCCCUGCCCUGCCUGGUAAAGGUGUUUCAAUUUUGAGGAUACAAGGUUCUGGUUUGUAUGAGAUCAUUACAGUAUUACGCAGUACACAUCCACUCGGUAAGGACGGUAGGCAGAGAUUCCUGUCAGAGUUAGUCAGAGUUUGUAUGUUCGUCUCAGUAUCAAAAUACACAGUGGAAAUAUAUCACUUUACUGGGUUAUCUUAGAAUAAAUUCUACACACUUCACAAAACCAUCGGAAAGGUUUAAUAUUAUGUUUGAGGCCUAAAUGAAAACUAACUUAUUAAAAAAUAUACUUUAUCCGAUUUAGUGUUAAAUUCUCCAAAUGUUUCAUUUUUAUUUUUAUAGAAUAACCAAUGAAUAAAUAAAUGUUAUUUUUGUUUGAAUUUACUUAUAGAGCACAAGUGUAAUAGAGCCUCGCUCUACCUACCAUUAAAAAUACCAGAAUACAAACUAUAUCAGCCUCCCAAAUUUAAAGACCAUACGAUCUAGGUAGAGGAAGUGUGAAACACAAAGAGAAACAGAGAACAUGACCCACAUACCACCCCUCUUGUCCUACAUUAGCCACAUAUCGCCCCCUCUUGUCCUACAUUAGCCACAUAUCGCCCCUCCAGUUAACUGCCAGGUCCUGGGAUACAGCUUCUUACCUUGGUAAUGUUUAGCUUGUCAGAAGUUUGUGAUAGAUCAACUAAUUUGCCUUGAAGAAUGUUAUUAUUCUAGCUUAUACAUAAGACGUGACUUAAGCAAUUAUGAUAUGAACACCAAAAUAUUACAUUGAAUUUAUUGGGUCAUCCUAGGUUCAAUUCUACAUUAUAUACUAUGUAAGACCUUUGUAAAGCUUUAAACUUAUGUAUAAAGCCUAAAUAAACUUACUGACGGGAAAAAAACUGAGUAGAAAUGAACUAUAUAUUUUGGCUUCAUUGUGAGACUAUCUUCGGCAUUUGACUCUUGUUUUAUUUACUUGUUCAUGAGUUACUGUUUACGAGACUUAAUAUUAACACCAGUCAUGGUCUGGUGUACAGUGUGAGGGAGAAGAUGACCGGUGCUUAUCUAGGGUCUCCUGUCUACUUCCUAGCCACAACAGGCGGUAUUUAACCUAAUUAUAAGUCACCUGACUAUAGUUACUGACGAUAAUCACGAGACUUGAUAAUUAUACAUAAUUACUAGGAAUCUGAACACCUAAAUAGCAGUUACAAAGUUUUAUGUAAUUUUUUUGACAUGCUGAGAAGUCACAAUUUUCGUUCGUUUUAUGAAAAUGUCCGAAUAUUUCAUGACUAUUUUAAUCAUAGUUCACGGCAAGUAUGAGAUAGUAAAGCAGAGAUAUCUUGAGUUAUGUGUUUGUCAAGACAAUAAUGUGUAAAAAGUGAACUCUUUAUUGCGACAGUAAAUUAUAUGCAAAAAUAA
Non-coding RNA from Cherax quadricarinatus, 4792 nucleotides. The record is from RefSeq and is a predicted model, not a curated record. NCBI's taxonomy places the organism in Eukaryota, Metazoa, Arthropoda, Malacostraca, Decapoda, Parastacidae.